CCUACGGGAGGCAGCAGUGAGGAAUAUUGGUCAAUGGGCGGAAGCCUGAACCAGCCAAGUAGCGUGCAGGAUGACGGCCCUACGGGUUGUAAACUUCUUUUAUACGGGAAUAACGCGCUUCACGUGUAGGGCUUUGCAUGUACCCUAUGAAUAAGGACCGGCUAAUUCCGUGCCCGCAGCCGCGGUAAUACGGAAGGUCCGGGCGUUAUCCGGGUUUAUUGGGUUUAAAGGGAGCGUAGGCCGGAGUUUAAGCGUGCUGUGAAAUGUUCGGGGUCAACCCGGGCCUUGCAGUGGAAACUGGCGGGCUUGAGUGCGCGGGAAGUAGGCGGAAUUCGUGGUGUAGCGGUGAAAUGCAUAGAUAUGACGAAGAACUCCGAUUGCGAAGGCAGCUUGCUGCAGCGGAACUGACGCUGAUGCUCGAAAGCGUGGGUAUCGAACAGGAUUAGAUACCCGAGUAGUC
This 460-nucleotide ribosomal RNA is filed under the name uncultured bacterium. Its description in RNAcentral is "partial 16S ribosomal RNA". It matches the Rfam family "Bacterial small subunit ribosomal RNA", at positions 338 to 795 of the family's 1533-position model. The record is from RNAcentral.